RNAcentral lists this ribosomal RNA (452 nucleotides) under uncultured bacterium. Its description in RNAcentral is "bacterial SSU rRNA". It matches the Rfam family "Bacterial small subunit ribosomal RNA", at positions 29 to 524 of the family's 1533-position model. The record is from RNAcentral.
AGCGAACGCUGGCGGCAGGCCUAAUACAUGCAAGUCGAGCGGGUCCUUCGGGAUUAGCGGCGGACGGGUGAGUAACGCGUGGGAACGUGCCCUUUGGUACGGAACAACUGAGGGAAACUUCAGCUAAUACCGUAUGUGCCCUUCGGGGAAAGAUUAUCGCCAUUGGAGCGGCCCGCGUUGGAUUAGGUAGUUGGUGAGGUAAAGGCUCACCAAGCCUACGAUCCAUAGCUGGUCUGAGAGGAUGACCCAGCCACACUGGGACUGAGACACGGCCCAGACUCCUACGGGAGGCAGCAGUAGGGAAUCUUGCGCAAUGGGCGAAAGCCUGACGCAGCCAUGCCGCGUGAAAUGAUGAAAGGUCUUAGGAUUGUAAAAUUACUUUCACCGGGGACGAUAAUGACGGUACCCGGAGAAGAAGCCCCGGCUAACUUCGUGCCAGCAGCCGCGGUAAU